Non-coding RNA from Ciona intestinalis (vase tunicate), 175 nucleotides. The record is from RefSeq and is a predicted model, not a curated record. Lineage: Eukaryota; Metazoa; Chordata; Ascidiacea; Phlebobranchia; Cionidae.
AUGUUUUUCCCCGCCGCAAAACUUUUUAUUGGGUACCUUGUACAGUGACAUUGAAGGUUUUUCACUUGGGCACCCAGGAAUACAGCACAUCCAUGAAGUCAUGUUAUAAUAAUUCAGCAGACAGUAUAUAGAACUUUUUAUAUUAUAUGAUACAACUAGCUUAUUCAAAUAGCAU